Molecule: ribosomal RNA, 440 nt
Filed under: Halomonas sp. ZXM120
Lineage: Bacteria; Pseudomonadati; Pseudomonadota; Gammaproteobacteria; Oceanospirillales; Halomonadaceae
Description: bacterial SSU rRNA
Rfam family: Bacterial small subunit ribosomal RNA
Source: RNAcentral
AACCUGGGGAAACCCAGGCUAAUACCGCAUACGUCCUACGGGAGAAAGGGGGCUUCGGCUCCCGCUAUUGGAUGAGCCUAUGUCGGAUUAGCUAGUUGGUAAGGUAAUGGCUUACCAAGGCAACGAUCCGUAGCUGGUCUGAGAGGAUGAUCAGCCACAUCGGGACUGAGACACGGCCCGAACUCCUACGGGAGGCAGCAGUGGGGAAUAUUGGACAAUGGGGGCAACCCUGAUCCAGCCAUGCCGCGUGUGUGAAGAAGGCCCUCGGGUUGUAAAGCACUUUCAGCGAGGAAGAACGCCUGUCGGUUAAUACCCGGCAGGAAAGACAUCACUCGCAGAAGAAGCACCGGCUAACUCCGUGCCAGCAGCCGCGGUAAUACGGAGGGUGCAAGCGUUAAUCGGAAUUACUGGGCGUAAAGCGCGCGUAGGUGGCUUGAUAA